CGUCAUCAUGAAAGGCCUGUCAUCUGCCUGGGCGGGACCACCUUGCUCUCUACCUGGUGGUCGGACGUGGGCAGGUCCUGGAAGAAGUGUUGCCCCGGGUCUGCCUCAUUCCCCCGGGGUGCUCAGUAAGGUGCAGCCCCAGCGCCAGAGCCUGCAACAGACAAGACGAGAGCCCGUAGUCUGCCUGGAUAUCCUGAGUCCCCGGGAGUCACCGAGGAAGGGUGCCUGAGUGGGCGCGGAGCUGGGAUCACCAGGAAGGUGGCGUCAUCAUGAAAGGCCUGUCAUCUGCCUGGACGGGACCACCUUGCUCUCUACCUGGGGGUCGGACGUGGGCGGGUCCUGGAAGAAGUGUUGCCCCGGGUCUGCCUCAUGCCCCCGGGUCACUCAGUAAGGUGCAGCCCCAGCGCCAGAGCCUGCAUCGGACAAGACGAGAGCCCGUAGUCUGCCUGGAUGUCCUGAGUCCCCGGGAGUCACCGAGGAAGGGUGCCUGAGCGGGCACGGAGCCGGGAUCCCCCAGGAAGGUGGCGUCAUCAUGAAGGCCUGUCAUCUGCCUGGACGGGACCACCUUGCUCUCUACCUGGGGGUCGGACGUGGGCGGGCCCUGGAAGAAGUGUUGCCCCGGUUCUGCCUCAUUCCCCCGGGGCGCUCAGGAAGGUGAGCCUUUCUCUGUCCCCAGGUCAGCCAAUUGGAACCAUGUGUCUGACCUAAGGCCCUGUGUCCUGAACGUGCUGGGAUCGAUGAUGACUCCCUCCAAAAAAAAACCAAACCAACAUUCCUUGGAAAAGCUGAACAAAAUGAGUGAGAACUACACCCGUCGUCGUUCUCAUCGGUAACUGAGGU
Long non-coding RNA from Myotis myotis, 840 nucleotides. RefSeq lists it as uncharacterized. The transcript has 5 exons. The record is from RefSeq and is a predicted model, not a curated record. NCBI's taxonomy places the organism in Eukaryota, Metazoa, Chordata, Mammalia, Chiroptera, Vespertilionidae.